This 754-nucleotide ribosomal RNA is filed under the name uncultured Nocardioides sp. Its description in RNAcentral is "bacterial SSU rRNA". It matches the Rfam family "Bacterial small subunit ribosomal RNA", at positions 631 to 1396 of the family's 1533-position model. The record is from RNAcentral. Lineage: Bacteria; Bacillati; Actinomycetota; Actinomycetes; Propionibacteriales; Nocardioidaceae.
UACGGGCAGACUAGAGGUAUGCAGGGGAGAACGGAUUCCUGGUGUAGCGGUGAAAUGCGCAGAUAUCAGGAGGAACACCGGUGGCGAAGGCGGUCUCUGGGCAUUACCUGACGCUGAGGAGCGAAAGUGUGGGGGAGCGAACAGGAUUAGAUACCUGGUAGUCCACACCGUAAACGUUGGGCGCUAGGUGUGGGGCCUAUUCCAUGGGUUCCGUCCGCAGCUAACGCAUUAAGCGCCCCGCCUGGGGAGUACGGCCGCAAGGCUAAAACUCAAAGAAUUGACGGGGGCCCGCACAAGCGGCGGAGCAUGCGGAUUAAUUCGAUGCAACGCGAAGACCUUACCUGGGUUUGACAUAUGCCGGAAAGCUCUAGAGAUAGAGCCCCUUUUAGUCGGUUACAGGUGGUGCAUGGCUGUCGUCAGCUCGUGUCGUGAGAUGUUGGGUUAAGUCCCGCAAGAGCGCAACCCUCGUCCUAUGUUGCCAGCACGUGAUGGUGGGGACUCAUAGGAGACUGCCGGGUCAACUCGGAGGAAGGUGGGGAUGACGUCAAGUCAUCAUGCCCCUUAUGUCCAGGGCUCACGCAUGCUACAAUGGCCGGUACAAAGGGCUGCGAUCCCGUAAGGGGGAGCGAAUCCCAAAAGCCGGUCUCAGUUCGGAUUGGGGUCUGCAACUCGACCCCAUGAAGUCGGAGUCGCUGUAAUCGCAGAUCAGCAACGCUGCGGUGAAUACGUUCCCGGGCCUUGCACACACCGCCCG